Vicia faba (fava bean) is the source of this 321-nucleotide non-coding RNA. Lineage: Eukaryota; Viridiplantae; Streptophyta; Magnoliopsida; Fabales; Fabaceae. The record is from the annotation of a GenBank genome assembly.
UUGGCUUUUGGAAGCGCAAAAGUUUACAUAAUAUUUGAGACAUUUGGAAAAAUUGGUGGACCUCUCUGUUAUGCUGAUCUGCAACUUGGUUUGGAGAUUUAUGCUAUAUUCUUUCUUUCUUCUUGGUUCUUUUUCUACAACCUAUCUGUAAGUUUAAUUUUUCUGUACAUUUAUUGUCUGUUGCUGACAGUAAGUUUGCUGUACGACAAAAGUUUUCUUAAUUCUGAAUCAUAUUCCCACCAUUUUAGUUGGUCUAUAGGGGAGAGAUUGGAGAUAAGUCUAUCUGUUUCUUUGUAUAAAUUAUCUCCGGUGAAAGAGUAA